GGAGCUACGGGGUUUUGGAGUUUGUCCUGCUUGGUCCAGUGUUUCCUCUCUGUGCCCCCAUUCCUCCUUUCUGGAAAGAAAAAGGAGCCAAAGAGAUGUUUGAUAGAGCGCGGUAUGGUGAGGUUGGAGGAGGUGCCUCUGCGGCCCAUGCUGUGGCAUCCCUUUCCCCCUGACGUACCAGCCACAGGACAGGUCGGGCCACCGGGGUGUAUUUUCAGCAAUGACAACCAUACUGAAGGUUAGCUGUCUCAACCUUAUCUCCAGACAACAGAGAAAUUUCUCUCCCUCUUAGAUUUUGGAUUCAAAAGCCCAGGAUCAAAGACUUGCAGCUCCUGGUGCUGGAGAAAUGUCUCAGUGCGCUAAGACCACACACUGCUCUUGCAAAGGACCCAGGUUCGGUUCCCAGCUCCUACACGGCUGCUCAUAGCCAUCUCUAACUCCAGAGAACCAGAUGCCCCCUUCCUUCUUCUGGGAGCUCUUGCACACAGCAGUGCACAUAACCUCACACGGGCACACAUCCACACAUGUUCAUAAAAUGAUAAAGAAGUCUUUAGAAACAGAGUUGGGGGUGCUGCAGAGGCAGCUCCAUGGUUAAGAGCACUGCUUGCUUUUCAGGAGGGCUCUGGUUUGAUUCCCGACACCCACAUGGCAGCUCUCAACUGUCUCUAACUCCAGUCCCAGGGGAUCCAACGCUCUGAUCUAGAGUCUGCAGGCACCAGGUGUGCACGUGGUACACGGAUAUGCUCAUAGACAAAAUACUCAUAAAUAUAAAAAAUAGAUAUCUUUAAGGACAGAGGUGCCCAGCGGCUUCCGGGGCUGUGAUGUGGGUCAGCGGUGAGAGAGGUGGAUCCAGGCUUCAGGCAGGAGACAAACAAACAGAAUAACCUUUGUGUCCCACACAGUGCGGCUGACAGCUGGCUGUCUAUUUCAGAAUCGCUAGGAGAAAAGACUUAGGACGUUCCCAAGAAAGAAAUGGUGGGUGUUGGAGGGGGUGCUACCUACACUAAGGACCCUGCUAGGACAUGGUGU
This is a long non-coding RNA of Mus musculus (house mouse), 1029 nucleotides long. RefSeq annotates it as predicted gene, 40009. Lineage: Eukaryota; Metazoa; Chordata; Mammalia; Rodentia; Muridae. The transcript is spliced from 3 exons. The record is from RefSeq and is a predicted model, not a curated record.